RNAcentral lists this unclassified non-coding RNA (360 nucleotides) under Hevea brasiliensis (rubber tree). The record is from RNAcentral. Lineage: Eukaryota; Viridiplantae; Streptophyta; Magnoliopsida; Malpighiales; Euphorbiaceae.
UCUUAAUCUUUUACACAGAAUCACCUAAAUGAUGAAAAGCCCUAAUCAUCCAUAAACCCUAGAAACCAUCAAAUCUUUUAACUCCCAAAGGCCAAAAGGGUUGAUACAAAGCAGCAAAUUCUCAGAGAUAAGCAAAAGUGGUUGACCAAAAAUCUUCAAAAAAAAGUCAAUCUUUCAACUAAUCAACACAAACCCACAAACCAAACAGCAAAAACAAACUGCCCCAAACACUCAAAAGACAAUCUUUUUUUUUUUUAUCUAAACCCUCAAUAGCAAAGUAUAAAAGAAGAGAAAAGACAAUUCCUUUGAAGGGGAAAACACUAUUUAGUUAGUGAAACUAUGAAAAGAGGAAAAAUUGAG